RNAcentral lists this ribosomal RNA (161 nucleotides) under uncultured bacterium. RNAcentral's name for it is "partial 16S ribosomal RNA". It matches the Rfam family "Bacterial small subunit ribosomal RNA", at positions 1339 to 1500 of the family's 1533-position model. The record is from RNAcentral.
UAAUGGCAGGUCAGCAUACUGCCGUGAAUACGUUCCCGGGCCUUGUACACACCGCCCGUCACACCAUGAGAGUUGGGAAUACCCGAAGCCUGUGAGCUAACUUUUAGAGGCAGCAGUCGAAGGUAGAAUCAAUNAUUGGGGUGAAGUCGUAACAAGGUACC